RNAcentral lists this ribosomal RNA (528 nucleotides) under uncultured Bacillota bacterium. RNAcentral's name for it is "bacterial SSU rRNA". It matches the Rfam family "Bacterial small subunit ribosomal RNA", at positions 894 to 1422 of the family's 1533-position model. Lineage: Bacteria; Bacillati; Bacillota. The record is from RNAcentral.
CUGAAACUCAAAGGAAUUGACGGGGGCCCGCACAAGCGGUGGAGCAUGUGGUUUAAUUCGACGCAACGCGAAGAACCUUACCAAGACUUGACAUCCUGCUGACGUAUUUUGUAAUGAGAUAUUUCCUUCGGGACAGCAGAGACAGGUGGUGCAUGGUUGUCGUCAGCUCGUGUCGUGAGAUGUUGGGUUAAGUCCCGCAACGAGCGCAACCCUUAUUUUUAGUUGCCAGCAGUAAGAUGGGCACUCUAAAGAGACUGCCAGUGAGAAACUGGAGGAAGGUGGGGAUGACGUCAAAUCAUCAUGCCCCUUAUGUUUUGGGCUACACACGUGCUACAAUGGGCGGUACAGAGGGAAGCGAAGCCGCGAGGUGGAGCGAAUCCCAGAAAGCCGCUCUCAGUUCGGAUUGCAGGCUGCAACUCGCCUGCAUGAAGUCGGAAUCGCUAGUAAUCGCAGGUCAGCAUACUGCGGUGAAUACGUUCCCGGGCCUUGUACACACCGCCCGUCACACCACGAAAGUUGGUAACACCC